Molecule: long non-coding RNA, 942 nt
Organism: Passer domesticus (house sparrow)
Lineage: Eukaryota; Metazoa; Chordata; Aves; Passeriformes; Passeridae
Exons: 3
Source: RefSeq, a predicted model, not a curated record
UUUAAAAGACAAAAAUGCUUAUCAGUACAGAAAAAUGAACAACCUAUCCAAAUAACUGAAGGAAAGGCCUGUGUGUCAUCAGAAACGCUGCCUGUGUAAUUUGAUUUCUUUGGAGAAGGCCUUUGCUCCAUAUUAUGACCAUUAUCCAGCAGCCAAAACAUACACAAUUACAUGUAUAACCUUCCUGCUCUUAUCUAAUCUGGGUUUUUCAACCUCCUUUUAGCUUUUAAUUUAAACAUCUUCCAAGUGACUGACUUGGCAGCCUCCUACAUGCUGAAUGAAAACCAACCUGCCAGAAGGAUGGCUUUUGUGUUUGUACCUUUGGGUGGACCCCUGAAAAUCAGAGACACUUGGGAGCCCCCUAGGAAAGAAGUGAAAGGUACUGAUUUUAAAAGUCACCCUUGAGGAGCAGCUGGAAGUUUGCUGCAUGGAGCAUCCAAGAUAAAUGAUGUUGAAAACCAUCCCAAGAGCAACAGCCAGAGAUGAAUGAGGUGUGGGAAGUACCUAUUUUCCCUUUACUGUGGUUCUUUCUCACAGUGCAAGACAGUUCGUGCCCCAAGAGAUGCCAGUGGAACAGAGAUGGUGAGGAGAAAAACCAUACAAAGAAAGGUUCACACUUUAAUGUGACCACUUCUCCAGGCACUUGCCAGUGCUCUCUACCCCUCAGGAGAGAGCAAAGCAUAACCCACCCCAAAAUAUUACAAAAUGAGAAGAAACAUUUUGGGGAGGCAGUUUCUCAGUGUUUGAGGUGUGUACAAUACGUGAUGGAGGAGAUCAUUAGGUGUCAACUGCUGUGAAAAGAUCAAGGCCCUCAGAGCAGAUCUGCAGAGACCAGGCACAGAAGAUGGAAAAGCACUUCAUGGGAAAUGACCUACAAAGCAAGGACACUCAAAAUACAUACUGCCUGUCACACAGAACUGUCACUCUUAGUAUGAAGAUGGC